UGGACUACGUUUCCCAGGGUGCUGCGGGCAGGGGCGGUCGCCGCGGGCUUCUCAAGCUCCUGGGGCCACAGAUGCUGUGGAUUCCAGAUCCAGUGCGUGCUGCAGGUUCAGGUGUGAUCUAUUGUAAAGAAGCUUGGCCAAUUAGCUCUUCCUGGGGCGAGACAGAGCAUUUCGCCAGAGUCAUAGUCUCUUUGCCCUAGGUGUGAGCGGAUACAGAUCCCACAGAUACAAUGUAUAUUUGAAGGUAUCUUUGCUUGCCAAAAGAAGAUAGCAAGGAAAAGAACAGCUUAGUGGCAAGUAGGUGUCACUGUAUCCUUUAGCAUCUGAGAGCCACUGCAGCCUCACCAGCCCUGAGCCCUUGGGUGAUGCAGAAGAUCCAGUGACUUGGAGCAGGGAAUGUGUUUCUGACAUGGAAAGGAAGGACCCAAGAAACUUCCCUUCAGACUGUUUUCUGUGAGCAGCUUCUUUGCCUGUAUUCUCGAAGUUACUGGCCUGGGGAAAUGACUCUGUGGGUGAAGGUGCUGGCUGACCAGCCUAAUGAUCUGAGUUUGAUCCCUGGAAGCCACAUGGUAAAAGAAGAGAACUGACUCCCACAAGUUGUCCUCUGACUACAUGUGUAGUCCCCAAAUGAAUAAAUGUUUAAAAUUGUUAAAAAAACAAGUCUGCUACUGUGUAAAAUACUCAUUCAUGGCACUCUAGUUUGAAAAUUGUCUCCUUUGUGCUGGCUCUCAU
Long non-coding RNA from Nannospalax galili (Upper Galilee mountains blind mole rat), 732 nucleotides. RefSeq lists it as uncharacterized. The record is from RefSeq and is a predicted model, not a curated record. NCBI's taxonomy places the organism in Eukaryota, Metazoa, Chordata, Mammalia, Rodentia, Spalacidae. The transcript is spliced from 3 exons.